RNAcentral lists this ribosomal RNA (253 nucleotides) under uncultured bacterium. RNAcentral's name for it is "partial 16S ribosomal RNA". It matches the Rfam family "Bacterial small subunit ribosomal RNA", at positions 524 to 776 of the family's 1533-position model. The record is from RNAcentral.
UACGUAGGGUGCAAGCGUUAAUCGGAAUUACUGGGCGUAAAGUGUGCGCAGGCGGCAGAGCAAGUCGAGUGUGAAAGCCCCGAGCUUAACUUGGGAAUUGCGCUCGAAACUACUUUGCUGGAGUGUGGCAGAGGAAGGUGGAAUUCCAGGUGUAGCGGUGAAAUGCGUAGAGAUCUGGAGGAACACCGAUGGCGAAGGCAGCCUUCUGGGCCAACACUGACGCUGAGGCGCGAAAGCUAGGGGAGCAAACAGG